This 230-nucleotide ribosomal RNA is filed under the name uncultured bacterium. RNAcentral's name for it is "partial 16S ribosomal RNA". It matches the Rfam family "Bacterial small subunit ribosomal RNA", at positions 564 to 791 of the family's 1533-position model. The record is from RNAcentral.
AGCGUGCGCAGGCGGUUAUGUAAGACAGAUGUGAAAUACCCCGGGCCUCAACCUGGGAACUGCAUUUGUGACUGCAUGGCUAGAGUACGGUAGAGGGGGAUGGAAUUCCGCGUGUAGCAGUGAAAUGCGUAGAUAUGCGGAGGAACACCGAUGGCGAAGGCAAUCCCCUGGACCUGUACUGACGCUCAUGCACGAAAGCGUGGGGAGCAAACAGGAUUAGAUACCCGUGU